RNAcentral lists this ribosomal RNA (402 nucleotides) under Micrococcus luteus. RNAcentral describes it as "bacterial SSU rRNA". It matches the Rfam family "Bacterial small subunit ribosomal RNA", at positions 28 to 430 of the family's 1533-position model. The record is from RNAcentral. Lineage: Bacteria; Bacillati; Actinomycetota; Actinomycetes; Micrococcales; Micrococcaceae.
GAUGAACGCUGGCGGCGUGCUUAACACAUGCAAGUCGAACGAUGAAGCCCAGCCUGCUGGGCGGAUUAGUGGCGAACGGGUGAGUAACACGUGAGUAACCUGCCCUUGACUCUGGGAUAAGCCCGGGAAACUGGGUCUAAUACCGGAUAGGAGCGCCUGUCGCAUGACGGGUGCUGGAAAGAUUUUUCGGUCAUGGAUGGACUCGCGGCCUAUCAGCUUGUUGGUGAGGUAACGGCUCACCAAGGCGACGACGGGUAGCCGGCCUGAGAGGGUGACCGGCCACACUGGGACUGAGACACGGCCCAGACUCCUACGGGAGGCAGCAGUGGGGAAUAUUGCACAAUGGGCGGAAGCCUGAUGCAGCGACGCCGCGUGAGGGAUGACGGCCUUCGGGUUGUAAAC